Molecule: ribosomal RNA, 771 nt
Filed under: uncultured bacterium
Lineage: Bacteria
Description: bacterial SSU rRNA
Rfam family: Bacterial small subunit ribosomal RNA
Source: RNAcentral
AGAGUUUGAUCAUGGCUCAGGACGAACGCUGGCGGCGUGCUUAACACAUGCAAGUCGAGCGGUAAGGCCCUUCGGGGUACACGAGCGGCGAACGGGUGAGUAACACGUGAGCAAUCUGCCCUUCUCUUUGGAAUAACCAUUGGAAACGAUGGCUAAUGCCGAAUAUGAACCCCCUUCGCAUGUUGGGGGUUGGAAAGCUCCGGCGGAGAAGGAUGAGCUCGCGGCCUAUCAGCUUGUUGGUGAGGUAAUGGCUCACCAAGGCAUUGACGGGUAGCCGGCCUGAGAGGGUGACCGGCCACACUGGGACUGAGACACGGCCCAGACUCCUACGGGAGGCAGCAGUGGGGAAUAUUGGACAAUGGGCGAAAGCCUGAUCCAGCAACGCCGCGUGAGGGAUGACGGCCUUCGGGUUGUAAACCUCUUUCAGCAGGGACGAAGCGAGAGUGACGGUACCUGCAGAAGAAGGACCGGCCAACUACGUGCCAGCAGCCGCGGUAAUACGUAGGGUCCGAGCGUUGUCCGGAAUUAUUGGGCGUAAAGGGCUCGUAGGCGGUUUGUCGCGUCGGGAGUGAAAACUCAGGGCUCAACCCUGAGCGUGCUUCCGAUACGGGCAGACUAGAGGUAUGCAGGGGAGAACGGAAUUCCUGGUGUAGCGGUGGAAUGCGCAGAUAUCAGGAGGAACACCGGUGGCGAAGGCGGUUCUCUGGGCAUUACCUGACGCUGAGGAGCGAAAGCAUGGGGAGCGAACAGGAUUAGAUACCCUGGUAGUCC